AACGAACGCUGGCGGCAUGCCUAACACAUGCAAGUCGAACGAGACCUUCGUGUCUAGUUGCGCACGGGUGCGUAACGCGUGGGAACCUGCCCUUAGGUUCGGAAUAACUCCCCUAAAGGGGUGCUAAUACCGGAUAAUUUCUUCGGACCAAAGAUUUAUCGACUUUGGAUGGGCCCGCGUUGUAUUAGCUAGUUGGUAGGGUAAAAGCCUACCAAGGCUACGAUCCAUAGCUGGUCUGAGAGGAUGAUCCGCCACACUGGGACUGAGACACGGCCCAGACUACUACGGGAGGCAGCAGUGGGGAAUAUUGGACAAUGGGCGAAAGCCUGAUCCAGCAAUGCCGCGUGAGUGAUGAAGGCCUUAGGGUUGUAAAGCUCUUUUACACGGGAUGAUACUGACAGUACCGGGAGAAUAAGCUCCGGCUAACUCCGUG
Molecule: ribosomal RNA, 433 nt
Filed under: uncultured bacterium
Lineage: Bacteria
Description: partial 16S ribosomal RNA
Rfam family: Bacterial small subunit ribosomal RNA
Source: RNAcentral